RNAcentral lists this ribosomal RNA (497 nucleotides) under uncultured bacterium. RNAcentral describes it as "partial 16S ribosomal RNA". It matches the Rfam family "Bacterial small subunit ribosomal RNA", at positions 28 to 507 of the family's 1533-position model. The record is from RNAcentral.
GACGAACGCUGGCGGCGUGCCUAAUACAUGCAAGUUGAGCGCUGAAGGUUGGUACUUGUACCAACUGGAUGAGCAGCGCACGGGUGAGUAACGCGUGGGGAAUCUGCCUUUGAGCGGGGGACAACAUUUGGAAACGAAUGCUAAUACCGCAUAAAAACUUUAAACACAAGUUUUAAGUUUGAAAGAUGCAAUUGCAUCACUCAAAGAUGAUCCCGCGUUGUAUUAGCUAGUUGGUGAGGUAAAGGCUCACCAAGGCGAUGAUACAUAGCCGACCUGAGAGGGUGAUAGGCCACAUUGGGACUGAGACACGGCCCAAACUCCUACGGGAGGCAGCAGUAGGGAAUCUUCGGCAAUGGACGAAAGUCUGACCGAGCAACGCCGCGUGAGUGAAGAAGGUUUUCGGAUCGUAAAACUCUGUUGGUAGAGAAGAACGUUGGUGAGAGUGGAAAGCUCAUCAAGUGACGGUAACUACCCAGAAAGGGACGGCUAACUACGUG